UGGGGAAUUUUGGACAAUGGGCGAAAGCCUGAUCCAGCAAUGCCGCGUGUGUGAAGAAGGCCUUCGGGUUGUAAAGCACUUUUGUCCGGAAAGAAAUGGCUCUGGUUAAUACCUGGGGUCGAUGACGGUACCGGAAGAAUAAGGACCGGCUAACUACGUGCCAGCAGCCGCGGUAAUACGUAGGGUCCAAGCGUUAAUCGGAAUUACUGGGCGUAAAGCGUGCGCAGGCGGUUGUGCAAGACCGAUGUGAAAUCCCCGAGCUUAACUUGGGAAUUGCAUUGGUGACUGCACGGCUAGAGUGUGUCAGAGGGGGGUAGAAUUCCACGUGUAGCAGUGAAAUGCGUAGAGAUGUGGAGGAAUACCGAUGGCGAAGGCAGCCCCCUGGGAUAACACUGACGCUCAUGCACGAAAGCGUGGGGAGCAAACAGGAUUAGAUACCCUGGUAGUCCACGCCCUAAACGAUGUCAACUAGUUGUUGGGAUUCAUUUCCUUAGUAACGUAGCUAACGCGUGAAGUUGACCGCCUGGGGAGUACGGUCGCAAGAUU
This 546-nucleotide ribosomal RNA is filed under the name uncultured bacterium. RNAcentral's name for it is "partial 16S ribosomal RNA". It matches the Rfam family "Bacterial small subunit ribosomal RNA", at positions 355 to 895 of the family's 1533-position model. The record is from RNAcentral.